AUGAUGAGAUUCCCCCCUCAAAGGUCGAAGGGUUGGGGGUUCGGCUCUCCUGCUGGGAUCCCUGCAAACACUAUCGUGCAGGGCCAACGAGCGGCCAACACGAAUAGAUCAGGAUCGAUAGAGAAUUGUCCUCUCACGUGGACCAGCAUCUACGGUGUUCUUCGGCAUGGAAGGAGCUCCUGCGACUUCAUCCAUAGGACAUGUAGGUUUCAGUGUCAGGAAUUUUGGCAUGAUAAAUCCUCAACGAAUGUUAUUCGAACGAAGAAAUUUGUAUGCUCAAAGGCAAGUUUCAAGGACAAGAGCAAGGAACAAUGCCAGCGGAAGCGAGCAGAUACAAGAGUUGGCUGUCUGGCAGAGAUGACCAUCAAAAUAAGUGCUAACGGAAAAUAUGUUGUAAGCAGCUUGGAGGAUGCCCAUAAUCAUGAACUCGUAACUCCAAGCAAAUCCCAUCUACUGCGAUCCCAAAGAAGAAUUACAGAAGCUCAGAAGGCCCAGAUUGACAUAUUGAAUGAUUCGGGUAUUAGACCUAAAUCUGGUCAUGAAGUGAUAAAUGAAGAGGAUAUGAUGACCAAUAUAUUCUGGGCAGAUGCAAGAUCAAUAUUAGAUUAUCACUACUUUGGUGAUGUGGUAUGCUUUGACACAACCUUUAAGACAAAUAGUUAUGGACGACCAUUUGCCCCUUUUGUUGGUGUCAACCAUCAUAAACAAACAGUGGUUUUUGGAGCUGCAUUAUUGUACGAUGAAGCAGCUGAUACGUUUGAAUGGUUAUUUGAAACAUUCAAAAGGGCUAUGUCAGGAAAAGAACCAAAAACAAUAUUGACCGACCAAUGUCCUUCCAUUAUUAGUGCCAUUGACAAGGUUUUUACCAAUUCAAUACAUCGUCUAUGUGUGUGGCACAUGUAUCAGAAUGCUGCAAAAGAUUUGAGUCAUGUUUUCCAAGGUUCGAAGACAUUUAAGAAAGAUUUUGAUUUAUUCAAGCACUAUAAGAGGGCCGUGGAUGAUAGAAGUGGUCGUACUGCCUCUAUUUCUGAAUUCAAGGUGUUGGACCACAACAAUAUUAAGGAGUUGGCACCUGAAUAUAUCUUGAAAAGAUGGACAAGGCAAGCAAAAUCAGGGCCAUCAUAUGCAAUUCAAAAGUGCGCUGAUGAUGAAGAUGUUAGAGUUGUGCUAGCUAGGCAGUAUGGAUCACUAUGUCGCACUUACAACAACAUUUCGAGCAAAGCAGCAGCAAACAAAGAGGCAUAUGCACUACUGCAAAGUAUGUCAAUAGAACUAAUGGAAAAGGUGGACCAGAUUUUACAUGGAAGCAACCAGUCGAAAGAUAUACCAUCAAAUCAUGAACAAGCUGAGAAACAAGCAGAGAACCAGCCAGUUGAAUGCAACAAUGAGAACGUUGUCCAAGCAAAAGGAAUAAGGAGAAAAGAAAAAGAAAAUAGCAGUAAGAGGAUUAAAUCUGGAUUGGAACUAAACAAAAAGAAUACACAGAAGAAAGGUCAAGCAACAACAUGCAAGAAUAGGAAUGGUGAUUGUGCUUCUGCCUCAACUGAAGCAAAUCCUAGCUUCACCAUGUCAAAUCAGUACUCCAACUUGCAAGUACUGCAGAGUGCCAGGCCUCUAGUACCACAUGCUACGAACUACAGUUUGCAAGUAUCGUCGCACGCUAUGCCUCCACUACCACAUGCUGCGAACUACAAUUCGCAAGUAUUGUCGCACGCUAUGCCUCCAAACCCACAAGCUGCGAACUACAAUUCGCAAGUAUUUCCGCGCACUAUGCCUCCGCAACCACAAGCUACAAACUCCAAUUUGCAAGUAUUGCCGCGUGCUAUGCCUCCGCAACCACAGGCAGAAAACUACAAAUUGCAUCUACUUCCUCAGACUAUGACACCAGUGCCACAACCACAGAAUUAUAAUUUGCAAGUAUUGCAUCACGGCCUGCCUCAACUACCGCAGGCAGAUGCUACUUCUUUUUAG
Molecule: ribosomal RNA, 1971 nt
Filed under: Triticum aestivum (bread wheat)
Lineage: Eukaryota; Viridiplantae; Streptophyta; Magnoliopsida; Poales; Poaceae
Description: partial small subunit ribosomal RNA
Source: RNAcentral